Molecule: ribosomal RNA, 786 nt
Filed under: Lactiplantibacillus plantarum
Lineage: Bacteria; Bacillati; Bacillota; Bacilli; Lactobacillales; Lactobacillaceae
Description: bacterial SSU rRNA
Rfam family: Bacterial small subunit ribosomal RNA
Source: RNAcentral
GAGUGAGUGGCGAACUUGGUGAGUAACACGUGGGAAACCUGCCCAGAAGCGGGGGAUAACACCUGGAAACAGAUGCUAAUACCGCAUAACAACUUGGACCGCAUGGUCCGAGUUUGAAAGAUGGCUUCGGCUAUCACUUUUUGGAUGGUCCCGCGGCGUAUUAGCUAGAUGGUGGGGUAACGGCUCACCAUGGCAAUGAUACGUAGCCGACCUGAGAGGGUAAUCGGCCACAUUGGGACUGAGACACGGCCCAAACUCCUACGGGAGGCAGCAGUAGGGAAUCUUCCACAAUGGACGAAAGUCUGAUGGAGCAACGCCGCGUGAGUGAAGAAGGGUUUCGGCUCGUAAAACUCUGUUGUUAAAGAAGAACAUAUCUGAGAGUAACUGUUCAGGUAUUGACGGUAUUUAACCAGAAAGCCACGGCUAACUACGUGCCAGCAGCCGCGGUAAUACGUAGGUGGCAAGCGUUGUCCGGAUUUAUUGGGCGUAAAGCGAGCGCAGGCGGUUUUUUAAGUCUGAUGUGAAAGCCUUCGGCUCAACCGAAGAAGUGCAUCGGAAACUGGGAAACUUGAGUGCAGAAGAGGACAGUGGAACUCCAUGUGUAGCGGUGAAAUGCGUAGAUAUAUGGAAGAACACCAGUGGCGAAAGCGGCUGUCUGGUCUGUAACUGACGCUGAGGCUCGAAAGUAUGGGUAGCAACAGGAUUAGAUACCCUGGUAGUCCAUACCGUAACGAUGAUGCUAGUGUUGAGGGUUUCGGCCCUCAGUGCUGCAGCUACGCAUAGCAU